UUCUACCCGGGAGACAGCAGUAGGGAAUCUUCCGCAAUGGACGAAAGUCUGACGGAGCAACGCCGCGUGAGUGAUGAAGGCUUUCGGGUCGUAAAACUCUGUUGUUAGGGAAGAACAAGUGCUAGUUGAAUAAGCUGGCACCUUGACGGUACCUAACCAGAAAGCCACGGCUAACUACGUGCCAGCAGCCGCGGUAAUACGUAGGUGGCAAGCGUUAUCCGGAAUUAUUGGGCGUAAAGCGCGCGCAGGUGGUUUCUUAAGUCUGAUGUGAAAGCCCACGGCUCAACCGUGGAGGGUCAUUGGAAACUGGGAGACUUGAGUGCAGAAGAGGAAAGUGGAAUUCCAUGUGUAGCGGUGAAAUGCGUAGAGAUAUGGAGGAACACCAGUGGCGAAGGCGACUUUCUGGUCUGUAACUGACACUGAGGCGCGAAAGCGUGGGGAGCAAACAGGAUUAGAUACCCUGGUAGUCCACGCCGUAAACGAUGAGUGCUAAGUGUUAGAGGGUUUCCGCCCUUUAGUGCUGAAGUUAACGCAUUAAGCACUCCGCCUGGAGACGCGACGC
This 562-nucleotide ribosomal RNA is filed under the name Bacillus cereus. Its description in RNAcentral is "bacterial SSU rRNA". It matches the Rfam family "Bacterial small subunit ribosomal RNA", at positions 337 to 889 of the family's 1533-position model. The record is from RNAcentral. Lineage: Bacteria; Bacillati; Bacillota; Bacilli; Caryophanales; Bacillaceae.